UGCUCGAGUGGCGAACGGGUGAGUAACACGUGAGUAACCUGCCCUUGACUUUGGGAUAACUUCAGGAAACUGGGGCUAAUACCGGAUAGGAGCUCCUGCUGCAUGGUGGGGGUUGGAAAGUUUCGGCGGUUGGGGAUUGACUCUCGGCUUAUCAGCUUGUUGGUGGGGUAGUGGCUUACCAAGGCUUUGACGGGUAGCCGGCCUGAGAGGGUGACCGGCCACAUUGGGACUGAGAUACGGCCCAG
Molecule: ribosomal RNA, 245 nt
Filed under: uncultured Actinomycetales bacterium
Lineage: Bacteria; Bacillati; Actinomycetota; Actinomycetes; Actinomycetales
Description: partial 16S ribosomal RNA
Rfam family: Bacterial small subunit ribosomal RNA
Source: RNAcentral